CUACGGGCUGCUGCAGUGGGGGAUAUUGCACAAUGGGGGAAACCCUGAUGCAGCAACGCCGCGUGAAGGAAGACGGUCUUCGGAUUGUAAACUUCUAUCAGCUGGGAAGAAAAUGACUGUACCAGACUAAGAAGCCCCAGCUAACUACGUGCCAGCAGCCGCGGUAAUACGUAGGGGGCAAGCGUUAUCCGGAUUUACUGGGUGUAAAGGGUACGUAGGCGGUUGCUUAAGUCAGAUGUGAAAGCCCGAAGCUCAACUUCGGGACUGCAUUUGAAACUGGGCAACUAGAGUACAGGAGAGGAAAGUGGAAUUCCUAGUGUAGCGGUGAAAUGCGUAGAUAUUAGGAAGAACACCAGUGGCGAAGGCGGCUUUCUGGACUGUAACUGACGCUGAGGUACGAAAGCGUGGGGAGCGAACAGGAUUAGAUACCCCGGUAGUC
Molecule: ribosomal RNA, 439 nt
Filed under: uncultured bacterium
Lineage: Bacteria
Description: partial 16S ribosomal RNA
Rfam family: Bacterial small subunit ribosomal RNA
Source: RNAcentral